GACGAACGCUGGCGGCGUGCUUAACACAUGCAAGUCGAACGGAAAGGCCCUUCGGGGUACUCGAGUGGCGAACGGGUGAGUAACACGUGGGUGAUCUGCCCUGCACUUUGGGAUAAGCCUGGGAAACUGGGUCUAAUACCGAAUAUGAUCAUCAGCUUCAUGGUUUGUGGUGGAAAGCUUUUGUGGUGUGGGAUGGGCCCGCGGCCUAUCAGCUUGGUGGUGGGGUAAUGGCCUACCAAGGCGACGACGGGUAGCCGGCCUGAGAGGGUGACCGGCCACACUGGGACUGAGAUACGGCCCAGACUCCUACGGGAGGCAGCAGUGGGGAAUGUUGCACGAUGGGCGCAAGCCUGAUGCAGCGACGCCGCGUGAGGGAUGACGGCCUUCGGGUUGUAAACCUCUUUCAGCACAGACGAAGCGCAAGUGACGGUAUGUGCAGAAGAAGGACCGGCCAACUACGUGCCAGCAGCCGCAGUAA
Molecule: ribosomal RNA, 478 nt
Filed under: uncultured bacterium
Lineage: Bacteria
Description: partial 16S ribosomal RNA
Rfam family: Bacterial small subunit ribosomal RNA
Source: RNAcentral